RNAcentral lists this small RNA (653 nucleotides) under Pan troglodytes (chimpanzee). Its description in RNAcentral is "retained intron". Lineage: Eukaryota; Metazoa; Chordata; Mammalia; Primates; Hominidae. The record is from RNAcentral.
GUUUGCAUUGGAGAAAAGCGAAGGAUUGUGGUCCCCCCUCACCUGGGGUAUGGAGAGGAAGGAAGAGGGAAUAUCCCCGGCUCGGCUGUGCUGGUGUUUGACAUCCAUGUGAUCGACUUCCACAACCCUUCGGACUCCAUCAGCAUCACCUCCCACUACAAACCCCCCGACUGCUCAGUGCUGAGUAAGAAGGGAGAUUACCUCAAAUAUCACUACAAUGCCUCACUUCUGGAUGGGACCCUGCUGGACUCCACGUGGAAUUUAGGCAAAACUUACAAUAUUGUUCUGGGAUCUGGGCAAGUUGUGUUGGGGAUGGACAUGGGUCUCAGAGAGAUGUGCGUUGGCGAGAAACGGACAGUGAUCAUUCCGCCUCACCUGGGCUAUGGGGAAGCUGGCGUGGAUGGAGAAGUGCCCGGCAGUGCCGUAUUAGUGUUUGACAUUGAGCUGCUGGAGCUGGUGGCUGGCCUUCCUGAGGGGUACAUGUUCAUAUGGAAUGGUGAGGUGUCACCCAACCUCUUUGAAGAAAUUGACAAGGAUGGCAACGGAGAAGUCCUCCUGGAAGAGGUAACUAACUGGCCUCUGUAGGAAGGUGGGACCGAAGAGCUCAGGGAGCCUGGUGAGGCCGUGGGGCCGGUUCUGAAGGUGAGGCCUUC